GAUGAAGAACGUAGCGAAAUGCGAUAAGUAAUGUGAAUUGCAGAAUUCAGUGAAUCAUCGAAUCUUUGAACGCACAUUGCGCCCGCCAGUAUUCUGGCGGGCAUGUCUGUUCGAGCGUCAUUUCAACCAUCAAGCCCCCGGCUUGUGUUGGGGACCUGCGGCUGCCGCAGGCCCUGAAAACCAGUGGCGGGCUCGCUAGUCACUCCGAGCGUAGUAAUACAUCUCGCUCAGGGCGUGCUGCGGGUUCCGGCCGUUAAAAAGCCUUAUUUACCCAAGGUUGACCUCGGAUCAGGUAGGAAGACCCGCUGAACUUAAGCAUAUCAAUAAGCGGAGGA
This 335-nucleotide unclassified non-coding RNA is filed under the name soil metagenome. Its description in RNAcentral is "partial contains 5.8S ribosomal RNA, internal transcribed spacer 2, and large subunit ribosomal RNA". The stretch from base 1 to 120 matches the Rfam family "5.8S ribosomal RNA", at positions 35 to 154 of the family's 154-position model. The record is from RNAcentral.